UACGUAGGGUGCGAGCGUUAAUCGGAAUUACUGGGCGUAAAGAGUGCGUAGGCGGUCCCGCAAGUCCGCUGUGAAAGCCCCGGGCUUAACCUGGGAAUGGCAGGGGAAACUAUGGGACUUGAAUCUGGCAGAGGGGGGUGGAAUGCCACGUGUAGCAGUGAAAUGCGUAGAGAUGUGGCGGAACACCGAUGGCGAAGGCAGCCCCCUGGGCUGAGAUUGACGCUCAGGCACGAAAGCGUGGGGAGCAAACAGG
Molecule: ribosomal RNA, 253 nt
Filed under: uncultured bacterium
Lineage: Bacteria
Description: partial 16S ribosomal RNA
Rfam family: Bacterial small subunit ribosomal RNA
Source: RNAcentral